CUCUAUUCUCCAUUGAAGCGCAUUCUGAGUUUUCUCACCUCCAUUGAAGCAGCUUCGAGGUAAGAUUUGGGCCAUUGUGGUCUUCUUAAUCUACCGAAUUUCUUCGCAACCUAGGGUUUGUCAUUGAUUUGGUUUUCAAUUUUGUAAUUUUAGGGUUCUGGUUUUAUUUCUAUUUUUUGUCAAACAAAAUAAGUAGGAGAAGGAAGAGAGUAGGUCCUACCCGCCGCCACUCACCCUUCGCCGGCCACCCUCCGUUCCCCUCACCCGUCCUUCGUGCGUCGGCUACCGACCACCAGUUUUCUGGCAAUGUUUAGUUGACUAAGACGGACGGACAUUGAUGCAGGUAGAUGAAUGGUGAUUUUUGUGUGUGUGUGUGUAUGUGUGUGUUGGGGGGGGGGGUUAGACCUUGUUUUGAUCAUUUUCUGCGCAAAAAUUGUAGAGCAGUUCAUAAAAUGAACCAUUAGGUGGUUUCUAAAUAUGCUUCACAAUUUAGAAUUUUGAAAAUUUUGUAGCUUAAGCCUUUAACACUUCACAAACAAAAUGCCUAAAGCCUUUAUCACUCACUCUGUCAGACCUCAAGUCUUAAUAAAUCUCAAUAUAUAACACAUUGUUCUUCAAAUUUUAAUGCCUUUUUUUUUCCUCAAAUUAACCCUGAUAUAAGAUAUUUGUAAGCUAAAAAUGUGUAUUGAUCAAGUUUAUCUGCUUAGUAUGAUGAUUUGAAGGUGUUGAGGCCUCUUUUUAUUCCUCAAAAAAUGUUCUAGGUUAUAAUUAUUUUAAUUUGUUUACGCUAAUAAGUCUAGAAAAGGGCUGGUAAGUUCAAUUAUAACUAAAAGUAAGUUUAUGUUAGGGCCAAUAAGUUGGUUAGUUUACAUCAGAUAUGAUUGGAGUUUCUAGGUGAAAAAUACACAGCCUGAAAAUUCUAUCAGUUUUUGUUGAUAUAUGAAGAAAUGGCUCAUGUUAUAAAUUGAUAAACUUGUGCGUGAGAGGAAAUUAGUUGGUGAUUUAGACUCGUCUCUUGAGAAAAAUAGAGAACACAUGAGAACUUGUUGACCUCAUUUAUUCAACAGUAAGUAUGAUAUGCCUUCUAUGUAUGUGGGUGAGAAUCGGGUAGUAUAUUAAUGGUUUUCAUCAUCUGUAUAUAAUAGAUGCGAAUGUGGCUGGACUACAUUGACGGAGACUGUACAGUUUACUUUGUCAGAUCUAUCAUUUUAUAAUCUAUGAAGAUUGAUUUACUGCUGAUUUUCUGAAUUUAAUUGUGAUUUUACUGUUGCUAUGCUUGUCAAGAGACAUGGUGAUGGAUUGCUACCUAUUGAUGACUACAACAUUGAGCUUAAGGAUCAAAGAGGGCAGAAGCUUAAUAUGGGUUCUGACAGAUCAAAGGGAAAUAAUGAUGGGUCUUUGCUGCAUACAAAGGGAAACAGCUAAUGAGGGCAUUAGGGGGGGUUGUUAAGCAAGGAGACAUGUAAAAGCCGGUGCACUACUUUUCUGAUUUAAGUUUGCAUGCAAGCUUUUAAGCUUUAUAUUGUGGAAUGUAUGGAGUGCUAUCCAUGCAUAAUUCCAAGGCUAUCCUGGUCAUAUUCAGGACCACGAAACUCAGAAGAUGUUACCCUCAGUUUUGAACAAUAAGGAUUAUAUAUCAUCGAUGUAAAAAGUAAAUAUACUAACUGUCUAGUUGAUUAAGCUAUCAUUGGUGUAGGAUAUCCUGUUUAGAAGGAAACAGAAUGCUAAUGAGACACUCAUGCUUGUCCCUCAAAUGAAAUGUAUUGUUGGCUCUGCAGCUUAGAUUGCCCAUGAUCCGCUCACUAAUCUUAGCUCUUAAGACUGCAAGAAUAUGAGGUAAGAAAGGGUGCACAAACUUGCAUUUGUCCAUUUGAAAUGCAUGUACUUGCUGUAUGGGAAUUGCACAUGAUUACUAGGGUUCUACAUUGCUAAUUAGCAAGAGUGUGUUCCCCAAGUCUGUCAGCCUCCUGUUGAUAGAACCCACUGUAUGGCAAGUUAAGUAUCAUUUUUUACCUUUAUAAAUUCUAAUGUCUUUAUAAAAUUAUUUGAGUGAAUCAACAGAGGACUAGCAUAGCCUAUUCUCUAAAUCUUAUCUCAUAUAAUUUCAUAUUUCCUCCAUUCCUCAAUUGAUGCAUCUCUUUCCUUUUUGGGAUGUUUUACAAUAGAUGCAUCCCUUUUCCUUUUAGUAAAAAAUUAUUUGCAAAAUUUUUGCCCUGAACUUAAGUGAGGACCAACUCCAUUUUUACUUUACAUGCUAUGGCUAAAGGUUAACACAUAAGCAAUUAUGUUAAUUUCCCUACUCUGUCUCUCCUUUCUAUUGGUUUGUGUGCCAACUCUCAAGGAUGCAUCAAUUGAGAAACUAAGGAAGUAGUUUAUUAUCUUUCUGGCAAAAAGGGGAUGGCUACCCUAAAGUCCCAAACACGACUAGGCUAUUAUAGGGCUUAUAAACUUUGGUAUAGCCUUGAUUAUCAAUAUAUCAUGUUAGAGACUAGAAAGGUGAUGCAGGGCACAAUUUUAUGUUUCAUUUUUUGUUUGGCUUGUAUCUGUACACCAUUCUGCUAAUGUUCGCUGAGUUGUCCUUUAAUUUUAGCAUUACCAUUGUUUGCUCCCCAUUUGACUGUUACUCUUUGUUGUAGUCUUAUCUUGUAUUUUGACUGUCUGAUUCACAAGACUGAUGUAUGUGUAGUGCAAAGCAUUUGCUGGCAGAGACAAAACUGGAACAUGAUGAAGCUUUACUAUCCCAAGAGGCUGAUGCUGAUUAUGUCAUAGAAGUUUCAGGUGCGAUCAACAGUAAUGCAGCAUUUUAUAGGUUAGUUUCAUGACUUUUGUCAUUCUGUGUUUCAACUGAUUGCCCAACUAGCUGAAGCAAAAGUUAAUG
This is an RNA transcript of Chenopodium quinoa (quinoa), 2878 nucleotides long. RefSeq lists it as uncharacterized. The record is from RefSeq and is a predicted model, not a curated record. The transcript has 3 exons. NCBI's taxonomy places the organism in Eukaryota, Viridiplantae, Streptophyta, Magnoliopsida, Caryophyllales, Amaranthaceae.